CUCGGACUAUUGUAAUCCGAGGACAUAAGCACCCAAUUAAAAUGCGCUGGUGAGACAGUACUUGAAAGGAACUACUUCAGGUGAAUGUACCCGACGUAAAAAUGCUGCCAAAUCAGAUGAACCAGUUCUUAAAUUGGAGGUUAAAGCACAAGAGUUCACUGUCUGGGUUGAAGAAACAAACUACUUAUUAUCGAGCAGAAAUACCGUCUGUACAUGCGCACAUUUUCGUAUUACCCACGCUACAUAUUGAUUGUUUAUUACCACUGUUGAAAAUAU
Long non-coding RNA from Eufriesea mexicana, 276 nucleotides. RefSeq lists it as uncharacterized. NCBI's taxonomy places the organism in Eukaryota, Metazoa, Arthropoda, Insecta, Hymenoptera, Apidae. The transcript is spliced from 3 exons. The record is from RefSeq and is a predicted model, not a curated record.